RNAcentral lists this long non-coding RNA (791 nucleotides) under Equus caballus (horse). Its description in RNAcentral is "lncRNA (ENSECAG00000048931.1)". Lineage: Eukaryota; Metazoa; Chordata; Mammalia; Perissodactyla; Equidae. The record is from RNAcentral.
GCACCGAUUGUGAAGAAUGGACUGUGUACUUUAUCAGGUUGGGCCAGUAAGGGAAGACUGCUGGCUGAGUCACCGUCUGAGCAGCGUUUUCGGGAGCAAUCUCCCGAACAGGAAGAGAGGCCUUCUCUAGAAGCAGUAGGAAGGGGCCCGGAGGCUGUGGGGAAACCACAAGCAGUCCCAGGGCUGGGAGCAGAGCCCCCAGGCUCACACACCUUGACCGCUUCCCAGGGGGAAUGAGCAGGUAGGCAGGGGCCCUAGCCGACUAACGCAAGAAGGCAGUUCUCAGAAGAAACUUCUUCACGGAGGUGUCUCCCCGCGCUGGGUUUUGGCAGCCGCACUGCAUUCCUGGAGGACUGGGUCGUGUCAGAACAGUGCCCGAGGGCUGCGCCCCCUGCUUAGACAAGUUCAAAGACAUCAGAAGUCGGUCUCUGAGACGGACAGGAAAACGAUGCUUUCUACUUAGCCGCCAGAAGAGUUUAAAGUCUGAGGCUUCAUAGACAUUCAAAGAACCCAGAGCAAUCCUGAGAGGACCUCAGAGAGAACACCUGCUUGCCUUCUGAGUCCUCCUGACGAAGAGGAGAAUGUGCCCUGUCGACGAAAAUAAUCCAUAACCAAUCUAUAAACAAGAAUUUGGCAAGGCACAACCCAGGGAGUUGCCAAGAUGAUUACACAGAAGGUGAAUCAUGAUUGUGCGGCCUACAGCUCCGCGAGAACUCAGGAGGGAGUCGCUCUCGGAAGACAACGACCUCGUUACUGACGUUAUGGGAGCAGCGAGCGGCACGUCUUCUCUG